GGUUUCCGUANGUGAACCUGCGGAAGGAUCAUUG
This 34-nucleotide ribosomal RNA is filed under the name Carex hirta. RNAcentral's name for it is "partial 18S ribosomal RNA". The record is from RNAcentral. Lineage: Eukaryota; Viridiplantae; Streptophyta; Magnoliopsida; Poales; Cyperaceae.